RNAcentral lists this ribosomal RNA (2929 nucleotides) under Escherichia coli. RNAcentral's name for it is "23S ribosomal RNA". It matches the Rfam family "Bacterial large subunit ribosomal RNA". The record is from RNAcentral. Lineage: Bacteria; Pseudomonadati; Pseudomonadota; Gammaproteobacteria; Enterobacterales; Enterobacteriaceae.
GGGUUGUGAGGUUAAGCGACUAAGCGUACACGGUGGAUGCCCUGGCAGUCAGAGGCGAUGAAGGACGUGCUAAUCUGCGAUAAGCGUCGGUAAGGUGAUAUGAACCGUUAUAACCGGCGAUUUCCGAAUGGGGAAACCCAGUGUGUUUCGACACACUAUCAUUAACUGAAUCCAUAGGUUAAUGAGGCGAACCGGGGGAACUGAAACAUCUAAGUACCCCGAGGAAAAGAAAUCAACCGAGAUUCCCCCAGUAGCGGCGAGCGAACGGGGAGCAGCCCAGAGCCUGAAUCAGUGUGUGUGUUAGUGGAAGCGUCUGGAAAGGCGCGCGAUACAGGGUGACAGCCCCGUACACAAAAAUGCACAUGCUGUGAGCUCGAUGAGUAGGGCGGGACACGUGGUAUCCUGUCUGAAUAUGGGGGGACCAUCCUCCAAGGCUAAAUACUCCUGACUGACCGAUAGUGAACCAGUACCGUGAGGGAAAGGCGAAAAGAACCCCGGCGAGGGGAGUGAAAAAGAACCUGAAACCGUGUACGUACAAGCAGUGGGAGCCUCUUUAUGGGGUGACUGCGUACCUUUUGUAUAAUGGGUCAGCGACUUAUAUUCUGUAGCAAGGUUAACCGAAUAGGGGAGCCGAAGGGAAACCGAGUCUUAACUGGGCGUUAAGUUGCAGGGUAUAGACCCGAAACCCGGUGAUCUAGCCAUGGGCAGGUUGAAGGUUGGGUAACACUAACUGGAGGACCGAACCGACUAAUGUUGAAAAAUUAGCGGAUGACUUGUGGCUGGGGGUGAAAGGCCAAUCAAACCGGGAGAUAGCUGGUUCUCCCCGAAAGCUAUUUAGGUAGCGCCUCGUGAAUUCAUCUCCGGGGGUAGAGCACUGUUUCGGCAAGGGGGUCAUCCCGACUUACCAACCCGAUGCAAACUGCGAAUACCGGAGAAUGUUAUCACGGGAGACACACGGCGGGUGCUAACGUCCGUCGUGAAGAGGGAAACAACCCAGACCGCCAGCUAAGGUCCCAAAGUCAUGGUUAAGUGGGAAACGAUGUGGGAAGGCCCAGACAGCCAGGAUGUUGGCUUAGAAGCAGCCAUCAUUUAAAGAAAGCGUAAUAGCUCACUGGUCGAGUCGGCCUGCGCGGAAGAUGUAACGGGGCUAAACCAUGCACCGAAGCUGCGGCAGCGACACUAUGUGUUGUUGGGUAGGGGAGCGUUCUGUAAGCCUGUGAAGGUGUGCUGUGAGGCAUGCUGGAGGUAUCAGAAGUGCGAAUGCUGACAUAAGUAACGAUAAAGCGGGUGAAAAGCCCGCUCGCCGGAAGACCAAGGGUUCCUGUCCAACGUUAAUCGGGGCAGGGUGAGUCGACCCCUAAGGCGAGGCCGAAAGGCGUAGUCGAUGGGAAACAGGUUAAUAUUCCUGUACUUGGUGUUACUGCGAAGGGGGGACGGAGAAGGCUAUGUUGGCCGGGCGACGGUUGUCCCGGUUUAAGCGUGUAGGCUGGUUUUCCAGGCAAAUCCGGAAAAUCAAGGCUGAGGCGUGAUGACGAGGCACUACGGUGCUGAAGCAACAAAUGCCCUGCUUCCAGGAAAAGCCUCUAAGCAUCAGGUAACAUCAAAUCGUACCCCAAACCGACACAGGUGGUCAGGUAGAGAAUACCAAGGCGCUUGAGAGAACUCGGGUGAAGGAACUAGGCAAAAUGGUGCCGUAACUUCGGGAGAAGGCACGCUGAUAUGUAGGUGAAGUCCCUCGCGGAUGGAGCUGAAAUCAGUCGAAGAUACCAGCUGGCUGCAACUGUUUAUUAAAAACACAGCACUGUGCAAACACGAAAGUGGACGUAUACGGUGUGACGCCUGCCCGGUGCCGGAAGGUUAAUUGAUGGGGUCAGCGCAAGCGAAGCUCUUGAUCGAAGCCCCGGUAAACGGCGGCCGUAACUAUAACGGUCCUAAGGUAGCGAAAUUCCUUGUCGGGUAAGUUCCGACCUGCACGAAUGGCGUAAUGAUGGCCAGGCUGUCUCCACCCGAGACUCAGUGAAAUUGAACUCGCUGUGAAGAUGCAGUGUACCCGCGGCAAGACGGAAAGACCCCGUGAACCUUUACUAUAGCUUGACACUGAACAUUGAGCCUUGAUGUGUAGGAUAGGUGGGAGGCUUUGAAGUGUGGACGCCAGUCUGCAUGGAGCCGACCUUGAAAUACCACCCUUUAAUGUUUGAUGUUCUAACGUGGACCCGUGAUCCGGGUUGCGGACAGUGUCUGGUGGGUAGUUUGACUGGGGCGGUCUCCUCCUAAAGAGUAACGGAGGAGCACGAAGGUUGGCUAAUCCUGGUCGGACAUCAGGAGGUUAGUGCAAUGGCAUAAGCCAGCUUGACUGCGAGCGUGACGGCGCGAGCAGGUGCGAAAGCAGGUCAUAGUGAUCCGGUGGUUCUGAAUGGAAGGGCCAUCGCUCAACGGAUAAAAGGUACUCCGGGGAUAACAGGCUGAUACCGCCCAAGAGUUCAUAUCGACGGCGGUGUUUGGCACCUCGAUGUCGGCUCAUCACAUCCUGGGGCUGAAGUAGGUCCCAAGGGUAUGGCUGUUCGCCAUUUAAAGUGGUACGCGAGCUGGGUUUAGAACGUCGUGAGACAGUUCGGUCCCUAUCUGCCGUGGGCGCUGGAGAACUGAGGGGGGCUGCUCCUAGUACGAGAGGACCGGAGUGGACGCAUCACUGGUGUUCGGGUUGUCAUGCCAAUGGCACUGCCCGGUAGCUAAAUGCGGAAGAGAUAAGUGCUGAAAGCAUCUAAGCACGAAACUUGCCCCGAGAUGAGUUCUCCCUGACUCCUUGAGAGUCCUGAAGGAACGUUGAAGACGACGACGUUGAUAGGCCGGGUGUGUAAGCGCAGCGAUGCGUUGAGCUAACCGGUACUAAUGAACCGUGAGGCUUAACCUUACAACGCCGAAGGUGUUU